UACGAAGGGGGCUAGCGUUGUUCGGAUUUACUGGGCGUAAAGCGCACGUAGGCGGAUCGUUAAGUCAGGGGUGAAAUCCUGGAGCUCAACUCCAGAACUGCCUUUGAUACUGGCGAUCUUGAGUCCGGAAGAGGUGAGUGGAAUUCCUGGUGUAGCGGUGAAAUGCGCAGAUAUCAGGAAGAACACCCGUGGCGAAGGCGGCUCUCUGGGACGGUACUGACGCUGAGACGCGAAAGCGUGGGGAGCGAACAGG
Molecule: ribosomal RNA, 253 nt
Filed under: uncultured bacterium
Lineage: Bacteria
Description: partial 16S ribosomal RNA
Rfam family: Bacterial small subunit ribosomal RNA
Source: RNAcentral